Molecule: long non-coding RNA, 1297 nt
Organism: Bos taurus (domestic cattle)
Lineage: Eukaryota; Metazoa; Chordata; Mammalia; Artiodactyla; Bovidae
Source: Ensembl
CCGGGCCGGCUGGGGCCUGCCCUGCGGUCGCCCCGCCAUCUCCCUGUCUCCUCGAGUCCUUGGAGACUCUGGCCCCUCACUGUCUGCCUCUGCUAAGCCCUUCCUCGAAGGCCUGUCCUGGAAGGGAAGAGAGGAUCCGCCCCGAGACGGCGGGACCCGCUGCAGCUUCCUGUGGUCGCAAGAAGGCGUAGCUAAGACGGUCUCUAGGCAGGGGCGACAUUGGAGACGAGGGGAUCUUCCUUAUCCAGGGAUCGAACUUGCGUUUCCUGCUUGGCAGAUGGAUUCUUUACCACUAAGCCACCUGAUUAUGGAAUUUGUGUUAGACAGAAAGCAAAUUUGAGCGAUUUUCUUAUUUGAGUUCAAAAUGGGUUGUAAAUCAGUAGAGAAAACUAGCAACUUCAACAACGCAUUUGGCCCAGGAAUUGCUAACAAAGGAAUAGUACAGUGGUGGUUCAAGACAUUUGCAAAGGAGAUGAGAGCAUUGAAGAUGAGGAGUGGAGUGGCCAGCUAUCGCAAGUUGACAGUGACAAUUGAGAGCCAUCAUCAAAGCUGAUCCUCUUACAACUACAUAAGUUGCUGAAGAACUCAGCAUUGACCAUUCUAUGGUCAUUUGGCAUUUGAAGCAAAUGGAAAGGUGAAAAAGCUUGGUAAGUGAGUGCCUCAUGAGCUGACUGGAAAAAAAAUUGUUGUUUUGAAGUGUUGUCUUCUCUUAUUCUAUGCAACAACAGUGAACCAUUUCUCAGUCGGAUUGUGACGUGCAAUGAAAAGUGAUCUUAUAUGACCACUGGCAAAGACCAACUCAGUGUUGGACUGAGAAGCUCCAAAGUAUUUCCUAAAGCCAAACUUGUACCAUAAAAAUGUCAUAACCACUGUUUGGUGGUCUGCUGCCCAUCUGAUCCACUACAGCUUUCUGAAUCCUGGAGAAAGCAUUACAUCUGAGAAGUAUGCUCAGCAAAUCAAUGAGCUGCUCCGAAAACUGCAAUGCCUGCAGCCAGUAUUGAUCAACAGAAAGGGCCCAGUUCUUCUCUACAACAAUGCCCGACCAUAUCGCACAACCAACAUUUCAGAAGUUGAAUGAAUUGGGUUGGAUGUUUUGCCUCAUUUGCCUGACCUCUUGCCAACCGACACCACUUUUUCAAACAUCUUGACAACUUUUUGCAGGGAAAACACUUCCACAGCCAGCAGGAGGCAGAAAAUGCUUUCCAAGAGUUUUUCAAAUUCUGAAGCACAGAUUUUUAUGCUACAAGAAUAAACAAACAUUUCUUAUUCAUAAAAAGUGUGUUAGUUAUAAUGGCUC